GAUGAACGCUGGCGGCGUGCCUAAUACAUGCAAGUCGAGCGAACAGACGAGGCGCUUGCUCCUCUGACGUUAGCGGCGGACGGGUGAGUAACACGUGGAUAACCUACCUAUAAGACUGGGAUAACUUCGGGAAACCGGAGCUAAUACCGGAUAAUAUCUUGAACCGCAUGGUUCAAUAGUGAAAGACGGUUUUGCUGUCACUUAUAGAUGGAUCCUCGCCGCAUUAGCUAGUUGGUAAGGUAACGGCUUACCAAGGCAACGAUGCGUAGCCGACCUGAGAGGGUGAUCGGCCACACUGGAGCUGAGACACGGUCCAGACGCCUACGGGAGGCAGCAGUAGGGAAUCUUCCGCAGUGGGCGAAAGCCUGACGGAGCAACGCCGCGUGAGUGAUGAAGGUCUUCGGUUCGUAAAACUCUGUUAUUAGGGAAGAACAAAUGUGUAAGUAACUAUGCACGUCUUGACGGUACCUAAUCAGAAAGCCACGGCUAACUACGUG
RNAcentral lists this ribosomal RNA (497 nucleotides) under uncultured bacterium. RNAcentral's name for it is "partial 16S ribosomal RNA". It matches the Rfam family "Bacterial small subunit ribosomal RNA", at positions 28 to 507 of the family's 1533-position model. The record is from RNAcentral.